Molecule: ribosomal RNA, 477 nt
Filed under: uncultured bacterium
Lineage: Bacteria
Description: SSU rRNA
Rfam family: Bacterial small subunit ribosomal RNA
Source: RNAcentral
AGGACGAACGCUGGCGGCGUGCUUAACACAUGCAAGUCGAACGGAAAGGCCCGCUUGCGGGUACUCGAGUGGCGAACGGGUGAGUAACACGUGGGCAACCUGCCCCCAGCUUCGGGAUAACAUUUGGAAACAGGUGCUAAUACCGGAUAAUAACCUUUCAUCGCAUGGUGUGGGGUUCAAAGUUUUUCGGCUGGGGAUGGGCCCGCGGCCUAUCAGCUUGUUGGUGGGGUAAUGGCCUACCAAGGCGACGACGGGUAGCCGGCCUGAGAGGGCGACCGGCCACACUGGGACUGAGACACGGCCCAGACUCCUACGGGAGGCAGCAGUGGGGAAUAUUGCGCAAUGGGCGGAAGCCUGACGCAGCGACGCCGCGUGAGGGAUGACGGCCUUCGGGUUGUAAACCUCUUUCAGCUCUGACGAAGCGCAAGUGACGGUAGGAGCAGAAGAAGCACCGGCCAACUACGUGCCAGCAGCCGC